RNAcentral lists this ribosomal RNA (479 nucleotides) under uncultured bacterium. RNAcentral's name for it is "partial 16S ribosomal RNA". It matches the Rfam family "Bacterial small subunit ribosomal RNA", at positions 28 to 507 of the family's 1533-position model. The record is from RNAcentral.
GAUGAACGCUAGCGGGAGGCCUAACACAUGCAAGCCGAGCGGUAUUGUUUCUUCGGAAAUGAGAGAGCGGCGUACGGGUGCGUAACACGUGUGCAACCUGUCUUUAUCUGGGGGAUAGCCUUUCGAAAGGAAGAUUAAUACUCCAUAAUAUAUUGAACGGCAUCGUUUAAUAUUGAAAGCUCCGGCGGAUAGAGAUGGGCACGCGCAAGAUUAGCUAGUUGGUGAGGUAACGGCUCACCAAGGCGAUGAUCUUUAGGGGGCCUGAGAGGGUGAUCCCCCACACUGGUACUGAGACACGGACCAGACUCCUACGGGAGGCAGCAGUGAGGAAUAUUGGUCAAUGGGUGCAAGCCUGAACCAGCCAUCCCGCGUGAAGGACGACUGCCCUACGGGUUGUAAACUUCUUUUGUAUAGGGAUAAACCUACCCUCGAGAGGGUAGCUGAAGGUACUAUACGAAUAAGCACCGGCUAACUCCGUG